UUAAUGUUUGUCUAACACUUCAGAUAGCACCUGGAUGUCUUAGGACAACUGCCCUCAAGUCUUAAUGUGGACUUUCUUCUCAAUUCAUGUGCAUGAAUUAAUCUCAUGUGCAUGAAUUAAUCCAUUGUAAAUCAUGAUUAAAUUCCUGGAUAUAUAUAUAUAAGAUAUUACCAGACAAAAACACUGUCCAUAUUAAUUAGUAUAACUGUAUAAUAUGUAAUGAAAAAACCUAUUCCACUUUCUUUUGCCAUGAAUAUCACAUGAUAAAUGAGAUUUUUAGCUCACCUGGCCCGAAGAGCCGGUGAGGUUAUGCCAUGGUGCAGCGUCCGUCGUAUGUUUUUCAUCUGGCGUCCGGCAACAUUUCCUUUAAAUUCAUACUAGUCCUAAACAUCUGAAUAGAUUUUGAUGAAAUUUGAUCUGGAACAUUAUUGGGCAAAGGAGAUCAAACGUUAUAUAAAUGGAGGGUGUGGCUCCUCUGGGGCCAGAGGUUCGGGGCCCAGUAGGGGAAAUUGAGGUAAAUCCUUUAAAUCCCUGCUAGUCUUGAACGCCAGAAUCGAUUUUGAUGAAACUUGGUCUGGAGCAUUAUUUGGCAAAGGAGAUUAAAACAUUGUAUAAUGUAGGGUGUGGCUUCCCUGGGGCUGGAGGGGCCGGGCCCAAUAGGGGAAAUUGAGGUAAAUCCUUUAAAUCCCUACUAGUUUCGAACAACUGAAUGUAUUUUGGUGAAAUUUGGUCUGGAGCAUUACUGGGUAAAGAAAAUCUAAUGUUGUAUAAGUGGAAGAUGUGACCCUGUUGGGGUUGGAAAAGUAUAGCAAAAACAUUUUUUUUUUAGAAAUCUUUUUCUUUUUGAAGAACAACAGGAUAUGGUCCACCUGUAGUUUGAACUAUUGUUGGCAGAGGCAGUUCAAGAGUAGGAAAACAUUUGAAAUACCUGGUAUAACUUCGAUUAGUUUAUGUUGCAAUAAUUGCUGAAAUAUCCAGUUGAGCGUUGCAGGCCCUUUGGGCCUCUUGUUAACCAAGUUCUGGACCCUGUAUUCCAAUGACAGUUGUAUUUGGUUAAUCAGUGGAUCAUUACAGCUCUGUAGGUCACAUAGAAAUGACAUGUCAGAAUUUAAAUGAGGUUUAACAUACACCCCUAUCUUUAUAAGGAGUAGUGGAUAUCUCCUAAUGGCUUUAUCAGUCCUAAACAGCUGGUGUAAAUCAGGUUAACUUUACACCACACUGCGGUAAGGUAAAUCCCUUCAGAUGUACUUUACACCACACUGUGGUAAGGUAAAUCCCUUCAGAUUUACUUUACACCACACUGUGGUAAGGUGAAUCCCUUCAGAUUUACUUUACACCACACUGUGGUCAGGUAAAUCCCUUCAGAUUUAUUACACCACACUGUGGUAAGGUAAAUCCCUUCAGAUUUACUUUACACCACACUGUGGUAAGGUGAAUCCCUUCAGAUUUACUUUACACCACACUGUGGUAAGGUGAAUCCCUUCAGAUUUACUUUACACCGCACUGUGGUAAGGUAAAUCCCUUCAGAUUUACUUUACACCACACCGUGGUAAGGUAAAUCCCUUCAGAUCUACUUUACACCACACCGUGGUAAGGUAAAUCCCUUCAGACUUAACACCACACUGUGGUAAGGUAAAUCCCUUCAGAUCUACUUUACACCGCACUGUGGUAAGGUGAAUCCCUUCAGAUUUACUUUACACCACACCGUGGUAAGGUGAAUCCCUUCAGAUUUACUUUACACCACACUGUGGUAAGGUAAAUCCCUUCAGAUCUACUUUACACCACACUGUGGUAAGGUAAAUCCCUUCAGAUCUACUUUACACCACACUGUGGUAAGGUGAAUCCCUUCAGAUUUACUUUACACCAUACUGUGGUAAGGUGAAUCCCUUCAGAUUUACUUUACACCACACUGUGGUAAGGUGAAUCCCUUCAGAUUUACUUUACACCACACUGUGGUAAGGUGAAUCCCUUCAGAUUUACUUUACACCACACCGUGGUAAGGUAAAUCCCUUCAGAUUUACUUUACACCACACUGUGGUAAGGUAAAUCCCUUCAGGUUUACUUUACACCACACUGUGGUAAGGUGAAUCCCUUCAGACUUAACACCACACUGUGGUAAGGUAAAUCCCUUCAGAUUUACUUUACACCACACUGUGGUAAGGUAAAUCCCUUCAGAUUUACUUUACACCACACUGUGGUAAGGUGAAUCCCUUCAGAUUUACUUUACACCACACUGUGGUAAGGUAAAUCCCUUCAGAUUUACUUUACACCACACCGUGGUAAGGUAAAUCCCUUCAGAUUUACUUUACACCACACUGUGGUAAGGUGAAUCCCUUCAGACUUUACACCACACUGUGGUAAGGUGAAUCCCUUCAGAUUUACUUUACACCACACUGUGGUAAGGUAAAUCCCUUCAGAUCUACUUUACACCACACUGUGGUAAGGUGAAUCCCUUCAGAUUUACUUUACACCACACCGUGGUAAGGUGAAUCCCUUCAGAUUUACUUUACACCACACUGUGGUAAGGUAAAUCCCUUCAGAUUUACUUUACACCACACUGUGGUAAGGUGAAUCCCUUCAGAUUUACUUUACACCACACCGUGGUAAGGUGAAUCCCUUCAGAUUUACUUUACACCACACUGUGGUAAGGUAAAUCCCUUCAGAUCUACUUUACACCACACUGUGGUAAGGUGAAUCCCUUCAGAUUUACUUUACACCACACCGUGGUAAGGUGAAUCCCUUCAGAUUUACUUUACACCACACUGUGGUAAGGUAAAUCCCUUCAGAUCUACUUUACACCACACUGGUAAGGUGAAUCCCUUCAGAUCUACUUUACACCACACUGUGGUAAGGUAAAUCCCUUCAGAUCUACUUUACACCACACUGUGGUAAGGUAAAUCCCUUCAGAUUUACUUUACACCACACUGGUAAGGUGAAUCCCUUCAGAUUUACUUUACACCACACUGUGGUAAGGUGAAUCCCUUCAGACUUUACACCACACUGUGGUAAGGUAAAUCCCUUCAGAUGGGUCCCAAGGUUCUACGUGUGACACUUGACAUGGGAGGUAGAUCCGUUUGAGGAUAUGUUAACUAAUUUAAUAAUUUAGUUUUGAUUUCAAAACUACUUAAUAGGACUUAUUUAUAAUGCCAGUACAGUGAUAAAGAAAAAAAGAUGACAUUUAACUGAUAAUCAUUAUGAAACUGGUCUUAUUCCAGUAGUCAGUAUAUAUUAAUCAUGUAACAAUGCAUGAGUUUAAUAUUGUGAAUUGUUGUUGUUGAACUAAUUUUUUUUCAUCCAGGUUGAUGUGAUAAUAAACAGUUCUUAACCUUAUCUAAAAUGCAUCAUUUGCACAUAUUUGCUUAAAAAGAUGGUUUAAUUAUUUCAUGUAAAGUUCAUUGAAACCAUUUAGAUUUAUUCAAAAUAUCUUCCACACUAUGAUUAUGUCUGAAAAUAUUAAUUUUAUUAAUUAAAUAAUUUCAAUUUAUUAUCCAAACAGUGAAACAGCAUUGCAUUCCUAGUUUGGCUAAAGUACAUUUUAUAAAUAUAUGUCUGCAGAAAAACAGGUUUUUGAUUCUUGGAUGUGAUUUAUGUACUUAAUUGUCAACAUGAAUGUUGAGUUUAAAAGUAAAUGCAGCAGUUGUUUCUUCAUCUACUAAAGAGAUGUUGUAACAAAAAUACAUUUUUUCUGCAGAUUUUCAGAAGCUAAAUUUUAUGUCAAUGUUCAGGAUUACACUCUUACACUAUUCAUAAUUAGUUAUCAUGCUGAUAUACUGUUGUUAAGCAUAUAGACAUUUUUCUCAGAAAACUGAAAAAAAAAGAAAAAAAAUAUUAUCAGAGGCUAUUCAUUCAAUUAAUUAUAAUUACCAGAUUUUUUUUCUCUGAAAAUUAUGAACAAAGAAAAAAAUAAUAUAAUUAUAGCCUGAUUAUAAAAUUCAAUAAGUUUUCUAGCUGAGAUACUGUUUUGCAGCAUAUAGACUAUUUUCUCUGAAAAUUAUGAGAAACAAAACCCAACUUAAUAAUUAGUGCUUAAGCUUUGUACUAACUAAAGAUGUCAUUAACGUAUCCAUAAUAUCACAAUAAUCCUGACCGUAAAUUUAGCUUCUGCCAUAACAAGGAUUAAGUGUACUGAUUAUCACCCCUUAAUAUUUUAUGAACUAAUAGUAAACUGGUU
Molecule: long non-coding RNA, 4171 nt
Organism: Pecten maximus
Lineage: Eukaryota; Metazoa; Mollusca; Bivalvia; Pectinida; Pectinidae
Exons: 4
Source: RefSeq, a predicted model, not a curated record